RNAcentral lists this unclassified non-coding RNA (240 nucleotides) under uncultured fungus. Its description in RNAcentral is "partial contains 5.8S ribosomal RNA, internal transcribed spacer 2, and large subunit ribosomal RNA". The stretch from base 1 to 52 matches the Rfam family "5.8S ribosomal RNA", at positions 103 to 154 of the family's 154-position model. The record is from RNAcentral. Lineage: Eukaryota; Fungi.
AACGCACAUUGCGCCCCUUGGUAUUCCGAGGGGCAUGCCUGUUCGAGCGUCAUUAUAACCACUCAAGCUUCGGCUUGGUCUUGGGGUUUCGAGGUUUCUCGGCCCUUAAAAUCAGUGGCGGUGCCAUCUGGCUCUAAGCGUAGUAAUUUUUCUCGCUACAGGGUCCAGGUGGUUACCUGCCAAUAAACCCCCCCUUUUAAGGUUGACCUCGGAUCAGGUAGGGAUACCCGCUGAACUUAA